CCUACGGGAGGCUGCAGUGGGGAAUAUUGCGCAAUGGGCGAAAGCCUGACGCAGCGACGCCGCGUGAGGGAUGAAGGUCUUCGGAUCGUAAACCUCUGUCAGCAGGGAAGAACGGUCACGGUGCUAAGCAGCAGUGAAUGGACGGUACCGGCAAAGGAAGCACCGGCUAACGCCGGGCCCGCAGGCGCGGUAAUACGGAGGGUGCGCGCGUGAAGAGGAAUUGCUGGGCGGAACGCGCGGGGAGGCGGUAUGUCAAGUCCAGGGUGCAAUCCCCGCGCCCCACGUGGGAACUGCCUUUGAAACUGGCAACCUGGAGUGUGUGAGAGGUUAGUGGACUUCCCGGUGUAGCAGUGACAUCCGUAGAUAUCUGGCGGAACCUCAGUUGCGACGGCGACUCUCUGGCCCCUACCUGACGCUGAGGCUCGAAAGCGUGGGUAGCAAACAGGAUUAGAUACCCGGGUAGUC
Molecule: ribosomal RNA, 465 nt
Filed under: uncultured bacterium
Lineage: Bacteria
Description: partial 16S ribosomal RNA
Rfam family: Bacterial small subunit ribosomal RNA
Source: RNAcentral